CAGAAAUCUGAAUCUUGUUGUUUUUCCUGUCUGCCAGGUUAUCUGAUAAUGCUUUAUCUGAUUGCCUUUCCUGGUAGUCUGCCCAUUCCUUUGAGAUGGUGAUUUCCCAAUUCCUGAGACUAAUGGGAAGGUUCCCUCACCCUCUCCCUCCUUGCAGAGAAAACAUUUGGUAAGUUUGGGAGUCAAAAUGGUUUCAGGGCAGUCUUCCUGUGCUGCUCCAGACAUGUGGUCCACAUAUCUAUGUACAUGCUUGGUUGGUACAUUUAUGAACAUUUAUUAUAUAUAUAUAAGACCUUAAAUUUUUUAUUACAGGAGUUAUCCAACCCCCGAGCCAUCUGAAGGCAGCCCCGUCUAGGGAAGUUUUUUAAUGUUCAAUGUUUUAUUAUGUUUUUAUAUAUGUUGGAAGCCACCCAGAAUGGCUGGGACAACCCAGUCAGGUGGGCUGGCUACAAAUAGUAAAAUUAUUGUUAUGAAACAGGAUGUCCCUAUUUUCAUCAGGGAAAUGUUGGAGGGUAUGCACACACAUAUACAAGCCUUUCUGUCCCCAAACCAUGCCCUGUCCCUACUCACAGCCUUUACUGACCAUGCUCUGAUCCCCUCUUUAGUGUUUUUGCCUGACUGGAACGUGUCCUGGAAUUCUUCCCGGGGGGGGGGCUGCAUGUGUGUAUGUUUCUGAGCACAAUUCAGAGUGUUAGUGCUGACCUUUAAAGCCCUUUGCCCAGCAUACCUGAAGGGAGUGUCUCCACCCCUAUCGUUCAGGCCAGACACUGAGGUCCAGUUACAGGAAACUAGGCACAGGGCCUUCUCGGUAAUGGCACCCUCCCUGUAGAACACUUUCCCUUUAGAAGACAUCUGAAGGCAGCCUUGUACAGGGAAGCUUUUUAAGGUUUGAUGUUUUACUGUGCUCAAUGUUUUAAUUUGCUGGAAUCCAUCCAGAGUGGAUGGGGCAACCCAGUCUGAUUGGCGACAUAUAAAUUUGUUGUUGUUGUUAUUUGCUAAUAACUAGCCCAUGGGUAGGCAAACUAAGGCCUGGGGGCCAGAUCUGGCCCAAUCGCCUUCUCAAUCUGGUCUGGGAAUCAGCAUGUUUUUACAUGAGUAGAAUGUGUCCUUUUAUUUAAAAUGUUAUUUGUGGGGCAUAGGAAUUAGUUUUUGUUUGUUUGUUUUUUCAAAAUAUAGUCCGGCCCCCCAACAAGGUCUGCAGGACAGUGGACCGGCCCCUGCUGAAAAGGUUUGCUGACCCCUGAACUAGUCUCUUGUGCAAAAGUGACAUUUGCACUUGUUGCUUCACCCAAUUUUGCCUCUAGCCCUGCUCGACACUGACAUGAGAGAGGUUCCUCACCUCUGCCCAAAGGAGCGAUGUGGACUGGCUAUGGAAUUCGCUCUCACAGUGGCAGUGAUGACCACCAACCGAGAUGGCUUUAAAAGAGGCUAGGGCAAAUUCAUGGAGGAGAGAGCUAUCCACGACUGCUAGCCAAGAUGGCUAUGCCACACCUGGAGGCAGCGAUGCCUCUGAAAAACAGUUGCUGGAAACCGCAAGAGGAGAGGGUGCUCUUGUGGUUGAAUCCUGUUUGUGGGUUUCCCAUAGGCCUCUGAUUGGCCACAGUGACAACAGGAUGCUGGAAUAGACAAGCCCUGAUCCAGCACGACUUGUCUUAUGUUCAGGAGCUGGGUAAUAGGAAGGCAACCUAUUCCGAGGGUUGCAAUAUUUCAAAAAGUGAAAAUAAUCUGGACACAAAAGUUGUUGGGCUUUUGGGGGCAAAGUUGUUGAGGUAUUUUUAAGGAAAUUCACCAAAAUCUAGGCUUCCGACAUGGGCCUGGACACUGUUUGAGACAGCCAAAUCCCGGCUAUGGCCAGGAAAUUCCAGACAUAUGGCAACAAAUUCAUCCCUCACUGAUUCUUCUUUGAGUAACUUCCUGUAGGAUUAUUUCUCUUCAGACUUUACUUCCUCCCUGCUUCUUCUCCAGGUUUGUUGGUGUCAGUGUUAACUUCUUGACUCCAUGUUGACCACAUACAUGCUGGUAUCCAGAAUGGCUCUGCUUGCCACGAGCAAGAAACCUUAAAUUUCUUUAUUCUUUCAACGAGCAAUCUUGUUGUUGUUGUUUAGUUGUUUAAUCGUGUCCAACUCUUCAUGACCCCAUGGACCAGAGCAAGCCAGGCACUCCUGUCUUCCACUGCCUCCUGCAGUUUGGUUAAAUUCAUGCUGGUAGCUUCGAGAACACUGUCCAACCAUCUCGUCCUCUGUCGUCCCCUUCUCCUUGGGCCCUCAAUCCUUCCCAACAUCAGGGUCUUUUCCAGGGAGUCUUCUCUUCUCAUGAGGUGGCCAAAGUAUUGGAGCCUCAGCUUCAGGUUCUGUCCUUGCAGUGAGCACUCAGGGCUGAUUUCCUUCAGAAUGGAUACCGGUAGGUUUGAUGUUCUUGCAGUCCAUGGGAGUCUCAAGAGUCUCCUCCAGCACCAUAAUUCAAAAGCAUCAAUUCUUCGGCGAUCAGCCUUCUUGAUGGUCCAGCUCUCACUUCCAUACAUCACUACUGGGAAAACCAUAGCUUUUGCUUUGUUGGCAAGGUGAUGUCUCUGCUUUUUAAGAUGCUGUCUAGGUUUGUCAUUGCAGUCUUACGGGCUGUUUAUAUCUGCACUCCACUGCUAUUUGCCAUGGUUGUGUUAGCAUGUGCAGCUGUUGACUGGCACAUGUACAUCAGAUACAAAAAUCCCUUCUGUACAAAGUUCUGUGUUCGCCGGUCAGCUUCCCAUGGCAGCCCCAGACCCAGAUAGUGCAGAGCAGAGGCAUGGCAGGAAGGAAGGAAAACUAGGCAGGCACCUGAACAACAUGGCUUUGAAAGAGCUGGCUUGGCCAAGAUUUCCAAAUCCCUUGCUGCUGCUCCACUCCUCCUCCCCAAAUUGAUCUCAUCCCCCAUAGAUUAAUUUUUGCACAAUUAUCCCAGAGUCUGUGAUAAUCGCUCCAUAAAAAAAUGAAGAGAUUUGGGGGGCUUUGAAUGUGGAGGAUUAGGCUUUAAUACAAGUAAUCUGUAGGAGGCUUGGCUGAAUGUAUGCCACUAAUCACCCCUGCACCAUUUGCAGCUUCAGCCUUUCAUCAGUGUGUGUGUGUGUGUGUGUGUGUGUGUGUGUCAACUUCAUAACAGAAAAUGCAUACAAGCCAUCCGCUGACAGGUCAAGCCGAAAUGCAAUGCAUUUUCAGGCUGAUUCAGGAAUAGGAAAUUUCUGGGGUGGUGCCAUGUUGAAAGAGUUGAAGCUGGAGGUUCAUAUUGUUUCAUGCAUCCCACAAGUGAUGGAAUCACAGAAUGGGGCUACCUUUGAAGGUGACUCGGAAAAUACAACUAAUCCAGAAUGCAGCAGCUAGACUGGUGACUGGGAGCGGCUGCCAGGAUCUACACUGGCUCCCAGUACAUUUCUGAGCUCAAUUCAGAGUGUUGGUGCUGACCUUUAAAGCCCUAAAUGGCCUCGGCCCUAUGCACCUGAAGAACUGUCUCCACCUGUAUCAUCCACUGAGGUCUAGCUCCGAGGGCCUUCUGGUGGUUCCCUAAUUGUGAAAAGUGAAGUUACAGGGACCCAGGCAGAUGCCUUCCAUCAGAUGUCAAAGAGAGCCACUCAAAGUGGCUGGGGCAAUCCACCUGUUGUUGUUGUUGUUGUUGUUGUUGUUGUUGUUGUUGUUGUUGAAACUUGGACCUUCUGCAUGCAAAGUAGUUGCUCCAACACUGAACAAUGGCCCUUUCCCAAAUGAGCAUGGAGAAACAAGUUAGCAGGGCAGGUCUCUCCAACAGCAUCCGUUUCACAAGAGCAACAAAAAUUCAGCUGGAUCAUACCAGUGGCCCAUCCUGUUCUCAUGGUGGCCAACCAGUUGCCUGUGGGCAGGAUCUGAGAGCAAGAGCCAUCUCUCCUCCUGCAGUAACUAGUUUUCAGUAACUAGUUUUCAGAAUCAUUACUGCCUCCAUAGCCAUUUUGGUCAGCAGCCAUGAAUAGCUCUCUUCUCCAUCGAUUUGUCCAAUCCUCUUUUGAAGCUGUCCAGGUUGGUGCCCAUCGCUGUUUAACUGCUGCAAGAAGAGCUACUUUAUCUGCCCCGAAUCCUCUAACAUUCAGCUUCCCUGGGUGCCCACCAGUCCCAGCGUUCAUGAAGAAGAGCAACUUUUCUCCAUCCACUUUCUCUAUGCCAUCCAAACUUCUAUGAUGUCACUUCUUAAGUUGCCUUUUAUCUGAACCAAAAAGCCCGUGGGGGUGUGGCCUAAUGAGAGGGGGCGUGGCCUACAGGGAGCUUAGAAGGCCAGGUAGAAGGGUCUGGAGAGCCACAUUAGGUCCCCAUGCCUGAGGUUCCUCAAACCAUAGAAAUACACCUACUAGAAGCAUUUAAAGGUAGUAGUAGUAGUAGUAUUAAGGUCCGUAUAGUAAAAGCUAUGGUUUUCCCAGUAGUGAUGUAUGGAAGUGAAAGCUGGACCAUAAAGAAAGCUGAUCGCCAAAUAAUUGAUGCUUUUGAAUUAUGGUGCUGGAGAAGACUCUUGAGAGUCCCACGGACUGCAAGAAGAUCAAACCUCUCCAUUCUUAAGGAAAUCAGCCCUGAGAGCUCACUGGAAGGACAGAUCGUGAUGCUGAGGCUCCAAUACUCUGGCCACCUCAUGAGAAGAGAAGACUCUCUGGAAAAGACCCUGAUGCUGGGAAAGAUGGAGGGCACAAGGAGAAGGGGACAACAGAGGACGUGGUGGUUGGACAGUGUUCUCGAAGCUACCAGAAUGAGUUUGACCAAACUGCGGGAGGCAGUGGAAGACAGAAGUGCCUGGCGUGCUCUGGUCCAUGGGGGUCACGAAGAGUCGGCCACAACUAAACAACUAAACAACAACAACAACAAAGCAGUAGUAUUUAAGCUGGCUUUUGUUGACUGAGAACAAGGACGAUUCAUGUAUCCCCAUUAACACAUUGCUUUGUCCUUCGUUAGGACACCAGAAGACACCAGAACGGAGCAUAGAUGAGCAGGUUCUAAAAAUACGACUUGAUUUGACCAUUCACCUAACAUCCAUUGUCUGGGCUUUUCAUUUUCUCGGAACAAAAGAGUCAGAAAAAUCCUUCCUCUGCAUUCGCUCCAUCCCAGGAGGACUCUCUUUUUGACAGCGCUGCUGCUCUGGGGCUUCUGCAGCCACCGGCAAACAAGGAACUGUCUGCCCCCUACGCCCUGACCAGGAACGCUUGCGCAAAACUUGCAGCCACAGCCUCUCACCGCAGACUUCCUGCUUAUCUUGCAUUUGCUAGCCAACGUUUGAGAAACCCAAAGAACAGAUGCGUCCCUCUCUACCCCUGCAACCCCAAGGUUUUCAUCCUCUCUAAACCAUCUCGAAAGAGAAGCCCAUACAACUAUAUUGGGUGUGUUCUAAAGAGAGAGAGAGGACUAAAUUUGGACCACUUCUGAAAAAGGCACAUUAAAGCAAAAUUAUUAAGAUGCUUCAUAUUAAGCACAGUUCUUUGUUUAUUACCUACAUU
RNAcentral lists this long non-coding RNA (5476 nucleotides) under Podarcis lilfordi (Lilford's wall lizard). Lineage: Eukaryota; Metazoa; Chordata; Lepidosauria; Squamata; Lacertidae. The record is from RNAcentral.